RNA transcript from Oncorhynchus nerka (sockeye salmon), 2994 nucleotides. It is a transcript of the gene named beta-1,3-galactosyltransferase 1-like, with no coding region annotated. Lineage: Eukaryota; Metazoa; Chordata; Actinopteri; Salmoniformes; Salmonidae. The transcript has 4 exons. The record is from RefSeq and is a predicted model, not a curated record.
GUCAGCUGCAGUACCGCAUACAGUCACUAUCAUGUCUCCCCCACGCCUUUCUUGCGGUGAGAUCAGAUGCAGAGCCCAGCGCAGGACGGACACAGUUUCAGCACCUCUUGUCUUGGUGGGAUGUAGACAACUAGACCGAACACAGCACGACUCCAAACUCAUGAUGGGCCUGGGUUAGAGGUUGAGAGACUGAGAGAAAGGGAGGAUGAGGAAGAGGAGGCUUGGUCUUUGCCUAUCUGAAGCCAUGUACAGACCACAAUAGCCCCCAGAUGUCACAUUGAAGGAUUAUGGCUUGUUGGAAGGACAUGCUACAUUUAGAUGGGACAAGAGAUGGAGUGAAGAGGAAAGAGCCUAUCGUUAAGGGCAGGAGCCAGCUGUGUGAGAUCUGUGAACACCAAAGGGGUAGAAGAAGGGGCUAGGGGCUGAAGGAAACAAGCCAGAAGUCUGAAAGAUUGAGGUCAAAGCUGUCCGUUGUUUUCCCUGCAGGACCAGUGAGAGAUUACGUUUUGAUGACAAGCUCUAUACCUUAAGGUGAGAUAAAAAUUAAAAGUCUGUCUUUAUGAAAAGGCGUCAUACCAGGAAACUUUUGGGGGGGAAACAGUUGAAAAUAAAGUACCUCCCACUUUUUUUCUUCAAGGAUUUUGCACUGUAGAAAAUGAAAAGCUCUCUGUUUGUUCAUUUUCUUUUCAUGGCCUGAAGACUACAAUUUUAGAAAACAUUAUUCAGCCUUUUCUAAAGAAGUAUCCUUGAUGCAGCUUUGGAUUGCACUGACUGUCAUACGUCAGCUUUGUCAUUUUCUAUUACUUCGGUAUUUACAGUGUAAUUCAUUGUUUUGAUUGGUAAAAGUUCAAUAGAUUUGAUGUGUGCUUAAAUCUCACCUCUCUCUCUCUCUCUCUCUCUCUCUCACUCUCACUCUCUCAGGGGAAGCUAAGGUUUGCUUGCAUGCACGGCACACUUCCUUUCUCUCUUUAUCUCUCUCUCAAUCUCUCUUUUUCUCUCUCCCACACUAAUGCCCUUUGCUAAGGUUUACGCGUCAUGGGUUCUGUCAUGCAUAUGCUUUAUUCUCUUAAUUCGGUCUCUUAAAUAUUCACUUUGAUGAUGCUAAUGUGUAGAAGCGAGUCGAACACCGGCGCAAUCUCAUGUUUGAAGACGUGUCGGGCGUCCUGUACCGCCACCUCAGCCUCGGCUAAUGAACGCUCCGGCUCCGCUCCAAAUACCUCGCUCUACACCCGCUGUUUCUCCCACUCUCUCACUGUCUGCUUUCUCUUUAAUUGUCAUCUAUGUUCACGAAAAAGACUUUCCGCGACCUCAUACUGACGUGAUGCUCGACUUCCCUUUACUUAAGUAGGACUUAGUGUUUACGUUGAAUAAGAGAUAUUGGAUAUUCCUUGUUCUAUUGUUUAGGUAACCGUGUUGGAGAUUUACCUAGAGAGAAGUUUUAAAUAGCACAUUACAUGUUUUAACACUGUUCAGGCUAGAGCCUGUAACUAUGGUUGAUUUUGCAAUAACACUUGCAAUAUUUAUAAUGAAUGGUUGCUCAGUCAUUUUAAAACGUUUUAAAAAAUGGUGGUGUAUAAUUUAAGGCGUGCAAAUAUGAUUUCUUUAUACUCAGUCCAAAUCGAGUGGGAGCACUGGAGGCCUCCAUUAUAUGGUCAUUAUAGGCUGCUGUGUGGGUAGUGAUUUAAGGAGAUUUGUUUCUCCUGCAGUUUCCUAGGAAAUUGCCCUCAUUAUAAUGGUUCUAUUCAGUUUGGAUCCAGAUCGAUCUCACACUCUUUCCACAGUGAGGCAGGGGUCUUAGUAACGCAUGUAGGUGUCAGUGUGUGAGUGACAACAGUGCAGUGAUUACUGCCAGGAGGCUGAGGGUGUCAACCAAGGGUUAACAAGGGUUUUAUAUACAGUCCGAGGCAUAUAAAGUAUGUAAGCACAAUAGUACACGGAUUACUAUUCAGUGGCUGAGAGUGUCAAACAAGGGUUAAGUUGGGGUGUAUGCAGUAGAGACCUAUAGAGUCCUGGUAACACCCCUCACUGACGGGCCAUAUGUCUGAAGGGAAUCUAAUGCUUUUAUGGCUCACAGACUGAGACUGUUUGACUAAAAGCAACUGUCGGUGUGUAUCUGUGUCUUUAUGCGUGCUGGGCAGGGGGUGUCAGUCUUCAAAUAACCACUUUUAGGCUCUUUAAUGUUCAAACUACCCAACUAUCUCAAUCAAUAUUGCUCAGUGUGCCGUUGAAUGUUGAAAAGAGGGCUUCGAAAGAGGGCUGCACGGCAAGGCCAGUAGAACCAACAGAGAACCAAUCAGAAUUACCCACCCUGCAAUGUCUGGAGUCAUCACAGUUCUAUUAGCAAGGAACGAUGCUCUUUAACAGUGUGGUAUUUGCUCUUCUUACAGUAUGCCGUUGUCAUGGUUUUGAACAUCUUGGAAGAGUGGCUACUGUCCUCUACUGUCGUUAUGGAUAGAAAACAUGACUUUGAGUCACUAGGGUUAACACCAGUUCUACGCAUUGGCAUCGCUGGGGGGAAAAAAGUGUUUUGUUAAUUAAAAGAUGUGUUUCAUGAGAACUUUUAUUAAACUGGGAUAUUAUCUUUGCUUGCAUUAUUGGUUUGGUUAUUUUCCUCAUCGACUGUCUCCACUGAUUUGUUCUAUGGCAAUGAACAUUUUUGUAAUUUGUUCCCCCCCCUCUCUCUCUCUCUCUCUCUCUCUCUCUCUCUCUCUCUCUCUUAUCUCUCACACACACACACACGAAAAUAUAAUCUAGUUUGGAAAAGCGACUGAGAUUGUUUUGAGCUGUACGUUUUCAGAGUUCUUAGAGAACAGUAGUGAAUCCUUCCCUACCUGGGCCUCGAGCUCCAGGGACACAAUCUCUCCAACACCAUGCAGCCUCUGGAUGAGAGACACACUGGGAGGUGUCCUUCACAUUACAACCUCUGGAUGAGACACACUGGGAGGUGUCCGUCACAUUACAGCCUUGGAGGAGAGGACAUACUGGGGGGAUGAA